Long non-coding RNA from Daktulosphaira vitifoliae (grape phylloxera), 952 nucleotides. RefSeq lists it as uncharacterized. The transcript is spliced from 3 exons. The record is from RefSeq and is a predicted model, not a curated record. Lineage: Eukaryota; Metazoa; Arthropoda; Insecta; Hemiptera; Phylloxeridae.
UAAUGAUAGAUACUGAGGCUCAACGUCUUAUAGUUAUGACAGAAGUAGAUGAGCAGUCAUUAGACUACAUAAGGAACUACGACACAGCGAAAGGUAUGUGGAAUAAAUUACUGAGUGAAUAUGAAAAAAAAUCUGAUACAUCAAUUAUAUUGAUUCAGCAAAAAUUUUAUAGUUAUGUAAUGGAUAAAAAUGAUAAUAUGGCACAAAAUAUAUUAAAAUUAGAAAACUUAAAUAAACAAUUAAAACAGUUAGGUAAACCAAUAUCCGAUCAAUGUUUAUAGCCAAAAUUCUUAUAACCUGCCAGAAAAUUAUAAAUAUUUUUAAUAUGUUUGAUAUUCUAUAUCAUCAGAGGACAAAACAUUAUUAAACUUAACAUCCCGACUUAUAGUAGUGGAAACAAGACAAAGUAGUGGCUAUGAAAUCCAGAAAAAUGAUAAUAUAGUACAAUUGCGGAAAAUUGCAAUUUUUGUAAGAAACCAUAUCAUUGGAAACGAGAUUGCUGGUUCGUAAAAAGAACAAAACGGAAAGAAUAAAAUGGAAUCCAAUUCUUGAAAUGCACUACUAGGCCAUAAUUCAGUGAUAAGCAAAAUUAGUGAUUAUGAUAAAUGGUAUGUGUACUCCGGGGCAAGUUAUCAUAGAACCAGUAGAAGAGAAUGGUUAAGACCCUAUAAGGCGUUCGAAAUUUAAUGCUAAUUGGUGAAGAGACGUUAUAUUCAAAAAAUCUACGGAAACAGAGAUCCAAAUUAGAAAAAAAAGAUGGAGAAAUAAAUUCAGAAACAGUGUUCGAAAGUGAAUAAAAUAACGUUAAUGAUAAAGUAAUGUUAUAUAUAUAUAUAUAUAUAUAUGUUCAAGCAAAAAUUGACGAAAAAUGGGAUGACAGUUUUUUGUCAGAUGUUUUAUAUGAAUCUAAGCUAAAAAUAUAUUUUUUGUCAUGUGGAGCAUGCCUUGAUAA